RNAcentral lists this ribosomal RNA (464 nucleotides) under uncultured bacterium. Its description in RNAcentral is "bacterial SSU rRNA". It matches the Rfam family "Bacterial small subunit ribosomal RNA", at positions 330 to 792 of the family's 1533-position model. The record is from RNAcentral.
UCCAGACUCCUACGGGAGGCAGCAGUGAGGAAUAUUGGUCAAUGGUCGGGAGACUGAACCAGCCAAGCCGCGUGAGGGAUGAAGGUACAGAGUAUCGUAAACCUCUUUUGUCAGGGAACAAAGGCGGGGACGUGUCCCCGGAUGAGUGUACCUGAAGAAAAAGCAUCGGCUAACUCCGUGCCAGCAGCCGCGGUAAUACGGAGGAUGUGAGCGUUAUCCGGAUUUAUUGGGUUUAAAGGGUGCGUAGGCGGAGUGUCAAGUCAGCGGUAAAAUUUCGGGGCUCAACCCCGUCGUGCCGUUGAAACUGACGCCCUUGAGUGAGUGAGAAGUAAGCGGAAUGCGUGGUGUAGCGGUGAAAUGCAUAGAUAUCGCGCAGAACUUCGAUUGCGAAGGCAGCAUGCCGGCUCCACACUGACGCUGAGGCACGAAAGCGUGGGUAUCGAACAGGAUUAGAUACCCCUGUA